Molecule: ribosomal RNA, 254 nt
Filed under: uncultured bacterium
Lineage: Bacteria
Description: partial 16S ribosomal RNA
Rfam family: Bacterial small subunit ribosomal RNA
Source: RNAcentral
UACGUAGGGAGCGAGCGUUGUCCGGAUUCAUUGGGCGUAAAGAGCUCGUAGGCGGCUUGGCAAGUCGGGUGUGAAAACUCCAGGCUCAACCUGGAGACGCCACCCGAUACUGCCAUGGCUAGAGUCCGGUAGGGGACCACGGAAUUCCUGGUGUAGCGGUGAAAUGCGCAGAUAUCAGGAGGAACACCGGUGGCGAAGGCGGGUCUCUGGGCCGUUACUGACGCUGAGGAGCGAAAGCGUGGGGAGCGAACAGG